RNAcentral lists this long non-coding RNA (929 nucleotides) under Homo sapiens (human). Its description in RNAcentral is "HSALNT0179559". The record is from RNAcentral. Lineage: Eukaryota; Metazoa; Chordata; Mammalia; Primates; Hominidae.
AUAAUAAUAAACACGACUAAUACACUAUUCCAAAGUCAUCUACAAAUUCAUUCUAGCUUUUGACUUCUCUUUCUUCUCUUCCAAUAGAGACAUUUGACAUCACUAUUUCCUACUUCCACUUUUUAUAGGUGAGGAAUAAAAGGUGUAAUUUGCACGGGGGCAGUUCUCACAGGCACAGAGGAAGAUAAGGGCCCUUAUUGAACUAAUCGCUGAAUACUUAUGGACGUUUACCAGGAGCAAGCAUAUUAGUCAAAGACCUGGGUUUACAUGCUUCCUCUGCCACUUACUGGUUUGGAGAUUUUGAUCAAGCCGAACCAAGGAGAGAACACUCACUCUUGCCACCUUCUGAUGUGGACAGUGGAUGAAGAAGAACCUCCCAAAUAUGUAAAGUCAAAGCUGCAGGGGGCAAUGGACGAAGAAAAUACUCACUGAGAGCAGAACAAGAGGCUGGUUAACCCAAACAACUAAUACAUCAGCAGGAUGGAGAGUAUUCACCAUUUCUACCCAGGAGAAUUUGAGAUUUACUGUGAGCCAGAAACAGCUGGGUGCUUUUCAGUUUUUAUGUUUCUGAAUGGGAGUUUUUGUUGCAGUUAUCCUGUCCCUACUCCACCAUUAUAUAUCAGGACAAAGGAAGAUAUGUAACUUGUAAGUUUGUAAGUUGAUGCCAGAGCACAAGGAGCCACUUCCAGACCUGAAAGAGAAGACUAUAUUUCACUCCAGUCCUGGAUUUUCAGCUGCAGCAGUAACUGAAUAAGAUUUUAUGUGGGCCCCCUUGAAGAGGAUUUGAGUGUAUUUAUGAAGAAAGAUGAGGGUGCAUGGACACCUGGGUUGUUAGAAGGGCAAACUGACAGACUGAUACCUAUCCAUUGUUAUUAAUUAUCCCCUAGUCCACUUACUAAUAGAACCCCACGAGUCUUAUCGGAACACAG